Molecule: ribosomal RNA, 295 nt
Filed under: Salmonella enterica
Lineage: Bacteria; Pseudomonadati; Pseudomonadota; Gammaproteobacteria; Enterobacterales; Enterobacteriaceae
Also listed under: 1 other name
Description: partial 23S ribosomal RNA
Rfam family: Bacterial large subunit ribosomal RNA
Source: RNAcentral
UGGGCGCUGGAGAACUGAGGGGGGCUGCUCCUAGUACGAGAGGACCGGAGUGGACGCAUCACUGGUGUUCGGGUUGUCAUGCCAAUGGCACUGCCCGGUAGCUAAAUGCGGAAGAGAUAAGUGCUGAAAGCAUCUAAGCACGAAACUUGCCCCGAGAUGAGUUCUCCCUGAGACUUUAGGUCUCCUGAAGGAACGUUGAAGACGACGACGUUGAUAGGCCGGGUGUGUAAGCGCAGCGAUGCGUUGAGCUAACCGGUACUAAUGAACCGUGAGGCUUAACCUUACAACGCCGAAG